GAUACCGCCCUAGUUCUAACCAUAAACGAUGCCAACCAGCGAUCCGCCUGGGUUCCUCAAAUGACUCGGCGGGCAGCUUCCGGGAAACCAAAGUGUUUGGGUUCCGGGGGGAGUAUGGUUGCAAAGCUGAAACUUAAAGGCAUUGACGGAAGGGCACCACCAGGUGUGGAGCCUGCGGCUUAAUUUGACUCAACACGGGAAAACUUACCCGGCCCGGACACUGGAAGGAUUGACAGAUUAAGAGCUCUUUCUUGAUUCAGUGGGUGGUGGUGCAUGGCCGUUCUUAGUUGGUGGAGCGAUUUGUCUGGUUAAUUCCGAUAACGAACGAGACUCUAGCCUACUAAAUAGGCGUCCCGAUCCCUUGCGUCGGGCGCUCUUCUUAGAGGGACAAGCGGCUUUUAGCCGCACGAGACAGAGCAAUAACAGGUCUGUGAUGCCCUUAGAUGUCCGGGGCCGCACGCGCGCUACACUGAAGGAAUCAGCGUGUGCUCUCCCUGUCCGCCAGGACUGGGUAACCCGUUGAACCUCCUUCGUGAUAGGGAUAGGGGCUUGUAAUUGUUCCCCUUGAACGAGGAAUACCCAGUAAGCGCGAGUCAUAAGCUCGUGUUGAUUAUGUCCCUGCCCUUUGUACACACCGCCCGUCGCUACUACUAAU
RNAcentral lists this ribosomal RNA (655 nucleotides) under Scytodes sp. 43 YFL-2022a. RNAcentral's name for it is "SSU rRNA". It matches the Rfam family "Eukaryotic small subunit ribosomal RNA", at positions 1011 to 1689 of the family's 1831-position model. The record is from RNAcentral. Lineage: Eukaryota; Metazoa; Arthropoda; Arachnida; Araneae; Scytodidae.